Molecule: long non-coding RNA, 1144 nt
Organism: Equus quagga
Lineage: Eukaryota; Metazoa; Chordata; Mammalia; Perissodactyla; Equidae
Exons: 3
Source: RefSeq, a predicted model, not a curated record
GCACAGGGGAAAGCCCGUUGUAUUUUAGUAACAUUGUUUAGCUUCAUUUUUACCUAUAUAAAUAAUACCUGGAUACGGUCGUAUUAUAAAAAAUUCGCGUGAUAAAGUUGGGGCUAAAGUCCCCGUUGCCCGCCACCCCCGGACGUAAGAGACUGAUCGCAUCAGGCAUGCGUCCUUUAGAGGCCUCCUAUGCAGUGACACGGGGCCUCCUGUGGACCAGGCUAUGCGCAGAGUUCACAAUCAGGUUUGGGGCCUGGGCCUCACGCUCCCAGAGGUAAGUGAGUCAAGGAGGCUGGCUCCUGCGCAUCUGCCACCCUCGGGCGCCCCACGAGGCUGUGACUCAGUGACUCACUCCCCUGCACCAGGAAUCCAUCACAGGUGGCUGACUCAUGCCAGCACACGCUGAGCUGAAGAAAGCAAAGACGAUGCUUUUAGAGCCUGUGACUGAGGAACCGACGUCAGUGUCUCUGAUGGAUUUUAAAAACACACAGAUGGAGCCAGGCGCCAAACCCCAGCCCAUUCUGCCCUCCUCCUGCGGGGCUGGGUGAUUAAGCGAGGGGUCAGGGCUGCCGGGGGCUGCUGGUGCAGCUCGGAACACGUGAACUCUGACAUCUGGCUGCUGGCCAACUUCCUGAUGGAUGGAUAAGGAGGCCACAGGGCAAGGGUGAGCCUGACACUGGGAGAUAAAGGGCUGGGGGCCAGCCACCAACCUCGCCUGCCCUUCAGUGCAGCUGGCUUUCUCAUCUGAGCACCCUGGACUGAGUUUCUCGAAGGUGAGCAAACCACGGCUCAGAAAGGCUAAAUUGCCCAGAGCCAUCUAACCAGCGAGCGUCGUAGCCAGGAUUCUCGACCACAGGGCCCACCGCGCCUGGUUUCCUCCUGCCUGUCACCUGCUCCUUGUCCUACCUUCUGUCACUCUGCUCCCCAUCUCCCUACUUCUAAACCCUGGAGCGCACCAAAACUCAGCGCUCACACCGCAUUCCUACAGCGUCCUGACCUUCUUCCAUUUCUGGUGCCAUCGACCCUUUGCCAGUCUGGUGACGCCUAUAUUUUAAAUGCUUAGAAUGUUCUGAAAGCAUAAAAUACAUAGGAUCACAAAGGAAAAAAAUGAUAUUUAAACAGAAUUAAAAUAUUUUAAAAAAUA